GGCACUGUCUACUAUUUACAUCUGUAUUUUCAUCUUUGCUACUUUUUGUCAGAAUGGCGGCUGUCUGAGGCUUUUUUGGUAUAAAAAAUGUUCUGAAUUUGUUUUCUGAUUUUUGCUAUGAUCACUGUAAUAAAUAGGUUGUCCUUCGGUAAGUGUAGUAUCGCACUUGUUUAAUCCUGUAAAGCUAUACUGUGCAGUUUCUGAAUGACGGGUUGUAUGUAUAUUAUGGUCAUGUGGAAAGUUCUGAGUUGUUUUGAGUUUGUGCUUGUUGAUUCUUUCAUUCUGUUGUUGUGAAUGGUUCCUUUCUAUAUCAAUAUUUCCUGUUUCUUGUUGUAAUUGCACAGUUAUAAGAUUGCUAUUGUUACUAUAUUCUUGAUAUUCAUUACAAUCAGGAUAGUAGUGAUGGUUGUAUGACCAGUUAUCAUGUUGAUAAUAGGGGUAAUGGUAAUUCUGCUGUUGACUAC
Molecule: long non-coding RNA, 464 nt
Filed under: Mytilus galloprovincialis (Mediterranean mussel)
Lineage: Eukaryota; Metazoa; Mollusca; Bivalvia; Mytilida; Mytilidae
Source: RNAcentral